CGGGGUGAGUAAUGUCUGGGAAACUGCCUGAUGGAGGGGGGUAACUACUGGAAACGGUAGCUAAUACCGCAUAACGUCGCAAGACCAAAGAGGGGGACCUUCGGGCCUCUUGCCAUCGGAUGUGCCCAGAUGGGAUUAGCUAGUAGGUGGGGUAACGGCUCACCUAGGCGACGAUCCAUAGCUGGUCUGAGAGGAUGACCAGCCACACUGGAACUGAGACACGGUCCAG
Molecule: ribosomal RNA, 229 nt
Filed under: uncultured bacterium
Lineage: Bacteria
Description: partial 16S ribosomal RNA
Rfam family: Bacterial small subunit ribosomal RNA
Source: RNAcentral